ACACGACUACAUUAGAUACCCCUGUAGUCCCAGCCGUAAACGAUGCGCGUUAGGUGUAUCGGUGACCACGAGUCACCGAGGUGCCGAAGGGAAACCGUGAAACGUGCCGCCUGGGAAGUACGGUCGCAAGGCUGAAACUUAAAGGAAUUGGCGGGGGAGCACCACAAGGGGUGAAGCUUGCGGUUUAAUUGGAGUCAACGCCGGAAAUCUCACCGGGAGCGACAGCAGUGUGAUAGCCAGAUUAAAGGUCUUGCUAGACGAGCUG
Molecule: ribosomal RNA, 265 nt
Filed under: uncultured archaeon
Lineage: Archaea
Description: partial 16S ribosomal RNA
Rfam family: Archaeal small subunit ribosomal RNA
Source: RNAcentral